UUUUUUUUUGGCAAUGAUUCUCACUUAUAUAGUCAACCUAGAAAUAGCAUUUUUUCUUCCCAUGAUUCACAAAGUGAGAUUGGAUUUCUUUGAUAGAUCCUUGCUUCAGGUUUUAGAAGAUGUCAGCAGAUGACAGAGGACACAGAAGUGGUUAUUUUCUUGAUAUUCAUGUUGGAUUUUAAUAUAAGUCAAGUGAAAUGUAUAGGCUGAUUCACCUUCUGCUCCAAUUUGGAAACCCUGUAGAAGUUCCUGUUCCUUUUGUAGGAUGGAUUCUGGCAGUAGCCUGACUCUCACCUUGCAUUCUGUAUACCACACAUAUUACACAUAGGGCCUCCAUUCCUUUACAUGCAACAUUUUUUUUUCUUUCUUUCAAGAUAGCAUUUGUUGCUUUUAAGUGUUUUGGUUAUUACAAUACUUUAAUUGUGAACUUUUAAAUAAAAUACUAUUAAGUGAA
RNAcentral lists this long non-coding RNA (454 nucleotides) under Mus musculus (house mouse). RNAcentral describes it as "long non-coding RNA chr1:67230807-67231261". The record is from RNAcentral. Lineage: Eukaryota; Metazoa; Chordata; Mammalia; Rodentia; Muridae.